This 239-nucleotide ribosomal RNA is filed under the name uncultured bacterium. Its description in RNAcentral is "partial 16S ribosomal RNA". It matches the Rfam family "Bacterial small subunit ribosomal RNA", at positions 95 to 334 of the family's 1533-position model. The record is from RNAcentral.
CCGGCAAACGGGUGCGGAACACGUACGCAACCUUCCUUUAACUGGAGAAUAGCCCCUCGAAAGAGGGAUUAAUACUCCGUAACAUAUUGAAAAGGCAUCUUUUUAAUAUUAUAGCUCCGGCGGUUAAAGAUGGGCGUGCGCCUGAUUAGAUAGUUGGCGGGGUAACGGCCCACCAAGUCUGCGAUCAGUAACUGGUGUGAGAGCACGACCAGUCGCACGGGCACUGAGACACGGGCCCG